This 357-nucleotide ribosomal RNA is filed under the name uncultured bacterium. RNAcentral's name for it is "partial 16S ribosomal RNA". It matches the Rfam family "Bacterial small subunit ribosomal RNA", at positions 338 to 692 of the family's 1533-position model. The record is from RNAcentral.
CCUACGGGAGGCAGCAGUGAGGAAUAUUGGUCAAUGGGCGCGAGCCUGAACCAGCCAAGUAGCGUGAAGGAUGACUGCCCUACGGGUUGUAAACUUCUUUUAUAAAGGAAUAAAGUGAGGCACGUGUGCCUUUUUGUAUGUAUUUUAUGAAUAAGGAUCGGCUAACUCCGUGCCAGCAGCCGCGGUAAUACGGAGGAUCCGAGCGUUAUCCGGAUUUAUUGGGUUUAAAGGGAGCGUAGAUGGGUUGUUAAGUCAGUUGUGAAAGUUUGCGGCUCAACCGUAAAAUUGCAAUUGAUAAUGGCAGCCUUGAGUACAGUUGAGGUAGGCGGACUUCGUGUUGUAGCGGUUACAUGCUUA